This 688-nucleotide ribosomal RNA is filed under the name Agrobacterium sp. Pe50. RNAcentral's name for it is "bacterial SSU rRNA". It matches the Rfam family "Bacterial small subunit ribosomal RNA", at positions 31 to 772 of the family's 1533-position model. The record is from RNAcentral. Lineage: Bacteria; Pseudomonadati; Pseudomonadota; Alphaproteobacteria; Hyphomicrobiales; Rhizobiaceae.
CGACGCUGGCGGCAGGCUUACACAUGCAAGUCGAACGCCCCGCAAGGGGAGUGGCAGACGGGUGAGUAACGCGUGGGAACAUACCCUUUCCUGCGGAAUAGCUCCGGGAAACUGGAAUUAAUACCGCAUACGCCCUACGGGGGAAAGAUUUAUCGGGGAAGGAUUGGCCCGCGUUGGAUUAGCUAGUUGGUGGGGUAAAGGCCUACCAAGGCGACGAUCCAUAGCUGGUCUGAGAGGAUGAUCAGCCACAUUGGGACUGAGACACGGCCCAAACUCCUACGGGAGGCAGCAGUGGGGAAUAUUGGACAAUGGGCGCAAGCCUGAUCCAGCCAUGCCGCGUGAGUGAUGAAGGCCUUAGGGUUGUAAAGCUCUUUCACCGAUGAAGAUAAUGACGGUAGUCGGAGAAGAAGCCCCGGCUAACUUCGUGCCAGCAGCCGCGGUAAUACGAAGGGGGCUAGCGUUGUUCGGAAUUACUGGGCGUAAAGCGCACGUAGGCGGAUAUUUAAGUCAGGGGUGAAAUCCCGCAGCUCAACUGCGGAACUGCCUUUGAUACUGGGUAUCUAGAGUAUGGAAGAGGUAAGUGGAAUUCCGAGUGUAGAGUGAAAUUCGUAGAUUUCGGAGGACACCAGUGGCGAAGCGGCUUACUGGUCCAUUACUGACGCUGAGGUGCGAAGCGUGGGGGAGCCAC